RNAcentral lists this transfer RNA (75 nucleotides) under Bacteriovorax sp. DB6_IX. RNAcentral's name for it is "tRNA-Val". It matches the Rfam family "tRNA". From Rfam's summary of the family: Transfer RNA (tRNA) molecules are approximately 80 nucleotides in length. Their secondary structure includes four short double-helical elements and three loops (D, anti-codon, and T loops). Lineage: Bacteria; Pseudomonadati; Bdellovibrionota; Bacteriovoracia; Bacteriovoracales; Bacteriovoracaceae. The record is from RNAcentral.
GGACGUAUAGCUCAGUGGGAGAGCACUGUCCUGACUCGACAGGGGUCGCAAGUUCAAUCCUUGCUACGUCCACCA